ACGUCCUGCCAAACCCGUCCAGCA
RNAcentral lists this non-coding RNA (24 nucleotides) under Arabidopsis thaliana (thale cress). Lineage: Eukaryota; Viridiplantae; Streptophyta; Magnoliopsida; Brassicales; Brassicaceae. The record is from RNAcentral.